Triticum urartu is the source of this 3822-nucleotide long non-coding RNA. RefSeq lists it as uncharacterized. NCBI's taxonomy places the organism in Eukaryota, Viridiplantae, Streptophyta, Magnoliopsida, Poales, Poaceae. The record is from RefSeq and is a predicted model, not a curated record.
ACCAGUCCAUGGUUUUACGUUUGGGAAAAAAAGGCCAGCCGGUUCCAGGUUGUAAAAUUGCAACGGGAUGCAAGUAAUUUUACGUUUAUGCAUUGACUCGAAUAUACCCCCUUGCCCAUCCUUUUUCUGAAAAAAAGAGAGCCGCGCCUCCGAACGGUUUGUGAGUAUCGGCGGUGACCAGCACGCAAGAGACGGCAGCGUGGUGCUCGGCGAUUUGGAUCUGAGUGAAGCCAUCGGUUGGCUGGCUGCCGGGGCGGCGCGCUACUCGGCGGCGUGGUCUCGAUGUUGUGGUGGUCGCUGGGCAGUUGGCGCGGCGUGGUGUGCGGCGUCUGCCUAGGUCUUGGGCGGCGUCAUGCGUGGUCGUCGCGGCGGAGCUAUGGCGAGUGAUUGUAGCGGCGCUCAAGUGCGUGCCCGUGCUUGUGCUGCUACGUGAAGGCGUUGCUUGCCAUUUGGAUUGAAUUUUGGUUGGGUGUGAGUGCACGGGUUGAGGAACACAAUGUCGGUGCGAUGCUUCCAAAUGCACCAGCAAAAGAGAAGGAAGAACGUCGACCGCGGGUGAGCGACAUCUCGCAGAUUGUGGACAGAGGCUACUGUAGGUGGCUGGAACCACAUCGUGGCCCCGAAAUCAACCAAUAACGGGCAGACAAAGAAGAGGUGACUCGCCAAUAACAGUGUGGCGGACUGGGCAGGCAACUAGAGGUUUAGAGCAAUGAAAAAGGUGAUUUUGUUCUUGAAUCGUGCUUAACAUUUAUUUAGCAAUCAAGCACUUGCAGCCCGGUUUGAGAUGUGCUUCUUGUUGGUUCAUGUAGACAUGCCAACAAAGGCCUCAUAAAGAAAAAUAGAAAAAAAUACAGUAGAUUGGUUUUGAUUGUUCUCUUGUGUAGACCAAAAUUAGCGAGCAAAAGAAAUUGGAUUUUGGUUCCAAAUUCUUUCCGUGAGUUUAUCCCAGGAAUAAUGUAUUGUUCCUAUUUGAUUUGCUACAUGUAACUUCCGUAGGCAAAUCUUCCACCCGAUGUUUCUGUUCAACAGCUCUCAAAGGCAUAGAGUCAACCAGUCAGACUUUGACCAGAUGUCGAACAUCUUCAGAACCUUGAUUGCUGAUCCUAGAUACCUAAACUCUAUUCUGGCAAGUUGUACAUGUAAUAAUUAGUUCUAGGAGGGUAUGCAGAUUGAAUUUGCUAUAUUGCAGUCUGGACUACAAGCUGCAAUGUUUUGAUAACCAUGGUCUGGAUGUAGAUAAUUUUGAGAAAGCAUACUUCUUUCCAUGUGCAUUUAGGCCUUAUGGGAUUAAUCUCUCUAUCAUCAGUUCUUCUAGUAUUUGAUUGAACCCUCUAAGAUAAUUCCAGUUUCAGUAAUUUAUCAAAUCAAUCUCAUGGGAGAAGAUUUGUCCUUGGUUCAGUCAAAUCUCUUAUAUUUUCUUUAAAUCUACGUGCCUUGUAGUUGUAAGUACUCUACUAUCUUUUCAGUAACAUUCUGACCUAUAUAUGAGAAUUAUGUAGCACCUUUAUUACGACAGUAAUGAUUCACUAAGCUUCUAUCUUACCACAUGGUCCAAUUUAUUUCCAGUUGUUGCCACCUUCCCUGGAUACAUCACACCCUAUAUAGUGUGCUCCUAGCAUGCUUUGUGUUUUUAGAUCAAAACUGUUCGUCUGCAACAAAUUGAAGUGUUGGUCUGGAAAUAAAAUUAUUUAGAAAGAGGCGAACUAUCUACUCAUUUUCUACCAUCUAAACUAGUAUAGAUAGUGGUACAUGCUAGCGAACAAAUAGUUUAUACCCUAUUUCAGUGUGGGGUACUAUUCUGCUAUUCUGUGGAAGCACCUGCUAUUAUUUUUGUUCAAAGCAUUCAUAAUUUGGGUUUCUGCAAGGGCUCUGAAAAGAAACAUAUUUUUGAUAAAUGUUGUGCGAUGCAUCGUUCUGCACACCUAAUCGCCUACUUAGAAAAAGAAAUAAAAGUAGCUGCAUUCGUGUGUACUUUGGAGUGUGUAUAGAUGGUAGAAUAAUUGUACCCUUGCUUUGUACUAAUAGUUUUAUUUACACUGUAGGUAGUUCACUAUAUAAGUUUCCUGAUAACUGUAGGCUGAUGUUAAUAUUUUUUUGGAAAGAAUGAAAUAUCAGGAUAUUUGACAUUGUAGAAUUAUGCUGACACGGUGUUUGAGGGUAUCAUUGAUGAGUUUCAAUCUUGGAGAGGUGCAGGCUGCUUGUCUUCUUUCUGAAUCAUGUUCCUCCUGUUUUCUCCCUGUUGGGAGUGUAUAGAGUUCUCCCUGGUGGGCUGUGUAAUCAGCGGGUUAUCUUAGUCCAUGUAUAGAUUCCAGUUCUGUUUCCUUGAGAGCUGACCCUGUAAUUCUAGCUUUAUUUUCCUAGAGCUGAUACCUAGAGUUUUCCCUGUUUAAAUAAAGUUCAUCCCCAGGCCCUUCAAGAUAACACUACUCCCCAGAUUAAAAUGUGAUGGUGUGUUUAUAUGAUAACAAUUAGUCUUUCUUAGGAAUGUGAGUUUUGGGGACAUUCUUACCGUCGGAAAGUCACCCUUCAAAUAAAAGUAUUAUCUAUAAUCAAGGAAGCAUUUCCAGACAUGGUACUUCCAAAAUAAUUCCAACUGAUUUCCACUACAUCAAAUCCAUGGUGCCUCAUGGAUUUAUCUUGAUAAAAAUGUACAGCAAAAAGGAGAGAAAAAUUGUAUGCAUCAGUAUCUUGUUGUUUCUCUCGAAGCAGAAAAGAUCUUUUCAAAGAAACUGAGUGUCAUGUGAUGCAGCUAGUGCACAUAGAGGUAGUUUGAUGCGUGAGGUAAAUUUACUUUGUGAGCCUAUUGUUUCUUACGGUAGUGGUUCUGGUACACAGGUUUAGGAAGCGCCAUAACUUUUAACAUGCGCGAGGUAAAUUUACUUCAUAAGCUUUGUUUCUUACGGCGACACAAUAAUAGUUUCUCACAGCAUGCAUGCUGUAAGAUUACCUCGCUCCGUUUCCUCAUAUAGUAAUCUUACCGCAGGUGUUCUGGGCGUGGAGGUGGGCUGGGGGUGAGGAAUAAGAAUUCCUCAUCCUGAAUGACGAAUAAAGUGUGUGUGUGUGUAUAUAUAUAUAUAUAUAUAAUUAGAGUAGUUAUUAUGAUCACAACGGCCCUAUAAAGGCCCGACUGGACGUUCCCGAAUUCCCGAAAACGCAUAACAGAAAACCUGGCCGGUCCAUCAAACUCCUCCGACUGGCCCAAUCCCUGCGUCAUGACCUUCCCAACCACCCCACCUCCCGCACCACCUCUGCCCCAUCCUCCCGCGCACCUCCUGCCGCCGGCCCCAGCGCGCCACCCGCCGCCGACCAACCCCCUCCCCGGCCCGACGCGGCCUUCCCAAACCACCCUUCGCCACGCGCACCCUCGCCGGAAAUCUCACCGCCGCGUGCGCCUCCCCAAAUCACCCGCUGCCGCCUGCGCCCGCCCUGGAUCCCCCGCCUAGCUGGUUCCCACUGCGGCCGCCGCAAGCCUCCACGGAUCCCGGCGGCGCCCUCCCUUCGGCGUGCUCCUUCAUCCCGUUGUCACGUCCUGGAUUCGGCUGCCCCGGACCCCGCCAGAUCCAGUAGAAGUUCCCGCCUACUCUCGACUACUGCCAGGGAAGGACCUCGCCACCACGCUGAAGUUGACUAGUAAUUAUCUACUAAUUUUUCCAAGGAUAAGCUCGCUUCUACAUUUUUCAUAUGUACCAGCUUCUGUUAUUUACAUAUCAGAUGCUCUGACUAAAUCAUCUUGUGUGUUCAGAUACUGCAAAUUCUACUAUGUACCUUCAGCAGAAUUAGGUGAUGAAAAUGUUGUUCCUCCUAUGGAUCGUUGAUUCCACA